GAACGGGUGAGUAACGUGGGCAAUCUGCCCUGCACUCUGGGACAACCCUGGAAACGGGUAAUACCGGAUACUAACCUCGCAGGCUGAGGGUCGAAAGUCCGGCGGUGCAGGAUGAGCCCGCGGCCUAUCAGCUAGUUGGUGAGGUAAUGGCUCACCAGGCGACGACGGGUAGCCGGCCUGAGAGGGCGACCGGCCACACUGGGACUGAGACACGGCCCAGACUCCUACGGGAGGCAGCAGUGGGGAAUAUUGCACAAUGGGCGAAAGCCUGAUGCAGCGACGCCGCGUGAGGGAUGACGGCCUUCGGGUUGUAAACCUCUUUCAGCAGGGAAGAAGGACGGUACCUGCAGAAGAAGCGCCGGCU
This 364-nucleotide ribosomal RNA is filed under the name Streptomyces malachitospinus. RNAcentral describes it as "bacterial SSU rRNA". It matches the Rfam family "Bacterial small subunit ribosomal RNA", at positions 100 to 498 of the family's 1533-position model. The record is from RNAcentral. Lineage: Bacteria; Bacillati; Actinomycetota; Actinomycetes; Kitasatosporales; Streptomycetaceae.